RNAcentral lists this ribosomal RNA (441 nucleotides) under uncultured bacterium. RNAcentral's name for it is "partial 16S ribosomal RNA". It matches the Rfam family "Bacterial small subunit ribosomal RNA", at positions 338 to 795 of the family's 1533-position model. The record is from RNAcentral.
CCUACGGGAGGCAGCAGUGGGGAAUAUUGCACAAUGGGGGAAACCCUGAUGCAGCGACGCCGCGUGAGUGAAGAAGGAUUUCGGAAUGUAAAGCUCUGUUAGCAGGGAAGAAGAAGGACGGUACCUGCAGAGGAGGCCACGGCUAACUAGGUGCCGGCAGCAGCGGUAAUACGUAGGGGGCAAGCGUUGUCCGGAAUAACUGGGGGUAAAGGAUGCGUGUGGGGGUAAACAAGUUAGAUGUGAAAUAUAUAGGCUUAACCUGUAGAAAGCAUAUAAAACUGUUCAACUAGAGUGCAGGAGAGGUAAGUGGAAUUCCUAGUGUAGCGGUGAAAUGCGUAGAGAUUAGGAAGAACACCAGUGGCGAAGGCGACUUACUGGACUGUAACUGACGCUGAGGCAUGAGAGCAUGGGGAGCAAACAGGAUUAGAUACCCGUGUAGUC